ACGGGUGAGUAAUGCCUAGGAAUCUGCCUGGUAGUGGGGGAUAACGCUCGGAAACGGACGCUAAUACCGCAUACGUCCUACGGGAGAAAGCAGGGGACCUUCGGGCCUUGCGCUAUCAGAUGAGCCUAGGUCGGAUUAGCUAGUUGGUGAGGUAAUGGCUCACCAAGGCGACGAUCCGUAACUGGUCUGAGAGGAUGAUCAGUCACACUGGAACUGAGACACGGUCCAGACUCCUACGGGAGGCAGCAGUGGGGAAUAUUGGACAAUGGGCGAAAGCCUGAUCCAGCCAUGCCGCGUGUGUGAAGAAGGUCUUCGGAUUGUAAAGCACUUUAAGUUGGGAGGAAGGGCAUUAACCUAAUACGUUGGUGUCUUGACGUUACCGACAGAAUAAGCACCGGCUAACUCUGUGCCAGCAGCCGCGGUAAUACAGAGGGUGCAAGCGUUAAUCGGAAUUACUGGGCGUAAAGCGCGCGUAGGUGGUUUGUUAAGUUGGAUGUGAAAUCCCCGGGCUCAACCUGGGAACUGCAUUCAAAACUGACAAGCUAGAGUAUGGUAGAGGGUGGUGGAAUUUCCUGUGUAGCGGUG
Molecule: ribosomal RNA, 585 nt
Filed under: Pseudomonas sp. StFRB328
Lineage: Bacteria; Pseudomonadati; Pseudomonadota; Gammaproteobacteria; Pseudomonadales; Pseudomonadaceae
Also listed under: 1 other name
Description: bacterial SSU rRNA
Rfam family: Bacterial small subunit ribosomal RNA
Source: RNAcentral